GCCGCCGCGGCGGGAGCUCGUUCUGGUGGCUGGAGGCAGGUCCUUCUCUUUCCGCAGACCCCGCAAACUCUCCGCUCUCCGGAGCCGCUGCCUUCAGUGCGCUCAGACCCUGGAUGUUAAGGUUCGCGCGGGCGCCGACCGCUGCCGGGAGAAGCAGCGGCGCCCCCACCCAUCAUCUUCCCAAGGCUGCGCCCGGGGGCCGCCAAGACCGAAGGGCGGUUGGAGCUCGAGCGGGAGCCUGAGACGCCCUGACCUAAGCAGCCAGCGGGGGACCCGCCGCAGCUCGAGCGGCUUCCGGCCCAAAGGGAGACGCACUUGAGUGAUCGCGAGGAGCAAACUUGGCGCUCUCAGCCUCCGGCCUCGGAGAGGUGAGAGAUUCCGGCUGCGCCCCUCUCCUCCCUUCCAAGGCCGAGAUACCGCCACACGUCGUCUUUCCGCGCCCCGGGACUCCGGACGCGGGAGUGUGUGCGGGAAGACCCGGGAGCGCGUCGCCGCCGGUCGCGCUCUCCCCGACGCUUCUCUGCGGCGCUCUGGCCGCACUCCCGGAGCCCGGACCGAGCCAUCGCCCUGAGUUUGCCUGUACUCCGCCCUUUUCCGUCUCUGUAUCCGUUUGUCUUGGGCCCAGUGACUCUGUCUCUCGCCUUCAGUGAAUCUCUGCCUCCGUUUCCAGUGGAAACCCUGCGUUUGUCUGGGGGUCUCUAGGGGUCCGAGAAUCCCUCGUUCGAUUUCCCCCACUCCUAGUCGCACUGCAGGGCUGCUCCCCCUUUCUGGCCGGCCCCGGACCCGCAGGCUCUACGGACCAGCAGCAGGACUCCCACAGAGACCUUCCUCAGUGAACCCUGACCUCAGCCCUGGGCCAGCGUUGCCUCAUCUCAGGAUCCUGUGCACACAAGAGCAGAUCAGCUCUUAGCAGCUGGGACUGCCCAUCACAACUCCAUUCCAAGCCCCCCUACAAUGGGGCAGCUACCAAGAGCUGCCAAGAACGGAGGAGGACGGGAGACCUGGGAGCACUUUCCAGGAGAGGUGGUAACUGCAGCAAGAUUUCCUCUUCUACGCUAAGCAACUGGGUUCCCCACUGGAGCAAGUGACUUUCAGCCACCAGAAGCCCCUCCCAGCCCAAAAUAGCAUCCAGAUGGAUCCUGGCUUCCUUCCCCAGGUUUCCUGCUCAAAUCAGAUGUGCAAAAUUUCCUUGACAAUUUACCUCAACUGAAACAAAGAAAUAAGCCAAGAAAAAAGAUGUGGAAUCCAGAAAGCAGAGAAGUCAGCCCCGGAUAGAAAUGGAGGGAUUCCAAGGAAUCCCAAGGAUUACACUGAUGGGAAGUUUCAGGUCCAUAUCUGUGCAGCAGGCAUGGAGAGCAAUCAGCUCAGACUGGGUCUAGAAGACAGAAUUCUAGGAGAAAUGCUCCCAGGAAAAGAAGAAUACAACCAGCAAAAGCAAUGACAGAUUUCCUGAUAAGUGAGACCUUGUGAAAAAGCAUACCCCACUGACUUUGGAAGAUACAGGAAGAUUCAGCCAUAGGGACAAAAAAAGCUAGGCAAGUGAAAAAAAUAAGGCAUUGACUCCAGGAAAAGUUAGAAGUUGCACCAAAAAACAAAACAAAACAAAACAAAAAAACUGUAGUCAUGGUGCACUACCAGCUUAUCUGAAAAACAAUAUAUAGUAAUAAAAUGUAAAUGCUAAAAGCUGAUGGUUUGGGCAGGGAUGGAAAGAAAUAACGAUUUUAGAGGUAGGCAAUUAUUGUAAUGGGAAGUUAAUCAUUACUGUUUGAAGAAAACAGAAAUGUGGAAGUAUAUUCCAAAAGAGACAAAUAGGAAUUCAAAGUAGAUGCUUCUAGGGAACAAAACAGGGAUCCUGAGAGUAGGCAAGCCGCUCUCCCAGGCCUUUGCGGUUUGACUUGUUAGAUUAUAUGCUUGUUUCAGUUUAAUAAAAACAAAAAUUAAGUCUCAAAA
Molecule: long non-coding RNA, 1950 nt
Organism: Hyaena hyaena (striped hyena)
Lineage: Eukaryota; Metazoa; Chordata; Mammalia; Carnivora; Hyaenidae
Exons: 3
Source: RefSeq, a predicted model, not a curated record